GCGGGAUGCUUAACACAUGCAAGUCGAGCGGCAGCACGGACUUCGGUCUGGUGGCGAGUGGCGAACGGGUGAGUAAUGUAUCGGAACGUGCCUGGUAGCGGGGGAUAACUACCCGAAAGCGUAGCUAAUACCGCAUACGCCCUUCGGGGGAAAGCAGGGGAUCGUAAGACCUUGCACUAUUAGAGCGGCCGAUAUCGGAUUAGCUAGUUGGUGGGGUAACGGCUCACCAAGGCGACGAUCCGUAGCUGGUUUGAGAGGACGACCAGCCACACUGGGACUGAGACACGGCCCAGACUCCUACGGGAGGCAGCAGUGGGGAAUUUUGGACAAUGGGGGAAACCCUGAUCCAGCCAUCCCGCGUGUGCGAUGAAGGCCUUCGGGUUGUAAAGCACUUUUGGCAGGAAAGAAACGUCCCGGGAUAAUACCCCGGGAAACUGACGGUACCUGCAGAAUAAGCACCGGCUAACUACGUGCCAGCAGCCGCGGUAAUACGUAGGGUGCAAGCGUUAAUCGGAAUUACUGGGCGUAAAGCGUGCGCAGGCGGUUCGGAAAGAAAGAUGUGAAAUCCCAGAGCUUAACUUUGGAACUGCAUU
RNAcentral lists this ribosomal RNA (593 nucleotides) under Achromobacter sp. EP_R_68. RNAcentral's name for it is "bacterial SSU rRNA". It matches the Rfam family "Bacterial small subunit ribosomal RNA", at positions 39 to 627 of the family's 1533-position model. The record is from RNAcentral. Lineage: Bacteria; Pseudomonadati; Pseudomonadota; Betaproteobacteria; Burkholderiales; Alcaligenaceae.